CGUCGCGUCGCGAAACGAGGAAGGCCGCUCGCGCAGGCGCAAUUCUGACGGCUGUCGUUGAGCACCUGCGGGCGCGCAUCUCCGCCAGGAAUGAGAGUUGGCAAUUGGGAGAAGUGCUAAGAAGAGCAAUAUGGCCGCUCCUCCCUUCAUAGAAGUCUUUUGGAUCCAGCCUCCCAAAGUCCCCAAGAUAUACACAAACUGUCAUGCUGGGCAACAGGAGUAGUUUCAUAGACUGGUAACACUGCCCAGGUUCCAGACUUCCAGUGAGCAGCCUUGGGAGACGAACUACCAGCUCUCUGGUCUAUGGUUGCAAACAAAACAAUCUAGUGUUACUAUAUGUGCAUAUUUAACUAGUUUCGAAAAUUAAGGCAUUACUAAGAUACAAAGUUAAAACUUAAAAAAUGACCCAAUGGGCCGGGCACCGUGCCUCACACCUGUAAUCCCAGCACUUUGGGAGGCUGAGGCUGGCGGAUCACAAGGUCAGGAGUUUGAGACCAGCCUGGCCAAUAUGGUGAA
Long non-coding RNA from Cebus imitator (Panamanian white-faced capuchin), 516 nucleotides. RefSeq lists it as uncharacterized. NCBI's taxonomy places the organism in Eukaryota, Metazoa, Chordata, Mammalia, Primates, Cebidae. The record is from RefSeq and is a predicted model, not a curated record. The transcript has 3 exons.